Molecule: ribosomal RNA, 460 nt
Filed under: uncultured bacterium
Lineage: Bacteria
Description: partial 16S ribosomal RNA
Rfam family: Bacterial small subunit ribosomal RNA
Source: RNAcentral
CCUACGGGAGGCAGCAGUGAGGAAUAUUGGUCAAUGGACGAGAGUCUGAACCAGCCAAGUAGCGUGAAGGAUGACUGCCCUAUGGGUUGUAAACUUCUUUUAUAUGGGAAUAAAACGUUCCACGUGUGGGAUUUUGUAUGUACCAUAUGAAUAAGGAUCGGCUAACUCCGUGCCAGCAGCCGCGGUAAUACGGAGGAUCCGAGCGUUAUCCGGAUUUAUUGGGUUUAAAGGGAGCGUAGGUGGAUUGGUAAGUCAGUUGUGAAAGUUUGCGGCUCAACCGUAAAAUUGCAGUUGAAACUGGCAGUCUUGAGUACAGUAGAGGUGGGCGGAAUGCGUGGUGUAGCGGUGAAAUGCUUAGAUAUCACGAAGAACUCCGAUUGCGAAGGCAGUUCACUGGACUGCAACUGACACUGAGGCUCGAAAGUGUGGGUAUCAAACAGGAUUAGAUACCCCUGUAGUC